AUCCAGUUGACGAGUCCUAAAUAGGACGAAACAUGCGUCCUGAU
This 44-nucleotide non-coding RNA is filed under the name Schistosoma haematobium. Lineage: Eukaryota; Metazoa; Platyhelminthes; Trematoda; Strigeidida; Schistosomatidae. The record is from RNAcentral.